UGGCAGUCCUCGCAUCCCACC
This 21-nucleotide unclassified non-coding RNA is filed under the name Mus musculus (house mouse). RNAcentral's name for it is "oocyte_clustered_small_RNA4". The record is from RNAcentral. Lineage: Eukaryota; Metazoa; Chordata; Mammalia; Rodentia; Muridae.